This 285-nucleotide ribosomal RNA is filed under the name Triticum aestivum (bread wheat). RNAcentral describes it as "partial small subunit ribosomal RNA". Lineage: Eukaryota; Viridiplantae; Streptophyta; Magnoliopsida; Poales; Poaceae. The record is from RNAcentral.
AUGCUUGGCCUCAGGCACGGAUUAUGGUUGAUACACUUGCAAGCAACUUCAAACACCUUCAGCAUUUGCUCUUCAUGCCCUUGUUCUCUCAGCGCUGGAUCCAAGACUUCAGUAUGCUUUCCCUGGGACGUCAUCUCCCGUACCCACUGGACAAGUUCCUUCGACUUGGACAGGACCUCGACGGGCCUUUUCCCUGUGAGCAGCUCAAGCAACACCACUCCAAAACUGUAUAUGUCUCCCCUCAGUGUGGCCACCCAUGCGUGCCCGUACUCGGGAGGAAUAUAA